RNAcentral lists this ribosomal RNA (440 nucleotides) under uncultured bacterium. RNAcentral describes it as "bacterial SSU rRNA". It matches the Rfam family "Bacterial small subunit ribosomal RNA", at positions 338 to 776 of the family's 1533-position model. The record is from RNAcentral.
CCUACGGGAGGCAGCAGUAGGGAAUAUUGGUCAAUGGAUGCAAGUCUGAACCAGCCAUGCCGCGUGCAGGAAGAAGGCCUUCUGGGUUGUAAACUGCUUUUGCCGGGGGAUAAAAUUCCCAUGCGUGGGACAUUGAAGGUACCCGGUGAAUAAGCCACGGCUAACUACGUGCCAGCAGCCGCGGUAAUACGUAGGUGGCAAGCGUUGUCCGGAUUUAUUGGGUUUAAAGGGUGCGUAGGCGGCCUAUUAAGUCAGUUCUGAAAUAUCCCGGCUUAACCGGGAGGGUGGGAUUGAUACUGAUGGGCUUGAGUGGAGUCGAGGUAGGCGGAAUUGACGGUGUAGCGGUGAAAUGCUUAGAUAUCGUCAAGAACACCGAUAGUGUAGACAGCUUACUAGACUUCAACUGACGCUGAGGCACGAAAGUGUGGGGAUCAAACAGG